CGUGCCAGCAGCCGCGGUAAUACGGAGGGGGCUAGCGUUAUUCGGAAUUACUGGGCGUAAAGCGCACGUAGGCGGAUCGGAAAGUCAGAGGUGAAAUCCCAGGGCUCAACCUUGGAACUGCCUUUGAAACUCCUGGUCUUGAGGUCGAGAGAGGUGAGUGGAAUUCCGAGUGUAGAGGUGAAAUUCGUAGAUAUUCGGAGGAACACCAGUGGCGAAGGCGACUAACUGGACAAGUACUGACGCUGAGGUACGAAAGCGUGGGGAGCAAACAGGAUUAGAUACCCUGGUAGCCCACGCCGUAAACGAUGAUAACUAGAUGUUGGGGGAGUUGACC
This 334-nucleotide ribosomal RNA is filed under the name uncultured Alphaproteobacteria bacterium. Its description in RNAcentral is "bacterial SSU rRNA". It matches the Rfam family "Bacterial small subunit ribosomal RNA", at positions 504 to 837 of the family's 1533-position model. The record is from RNAcentral. Lineage: Bacteria; Pseudomonadati; Pseudomonadota; Alphaproteobacteria.